Molecule: non-coding RNA, 15992 nt
Organism: Anas platyrhynchos (mallard)
Lineage: Eukaryota; Metazoa; Chordata; Aves; Anseriformes; Anatidae
Source: RefSeq, a predicted model, not a curated record
AAAGAGCUAGAGCCCAAUUACAGUUUUAGGUGAUCUCUGGACUGGCUGGGUGACAGCUUAUUGCUCAGUUUUCUGUUUAAACAAACAAAAAAAAAACUUUAUGUAUUUAAACUGGGAGAUUAUCAUCUAUGAGCUAGAUUUGUUUCUGAUAGCAGUUGACACUCAUUAUCAUGUUUAGCUCUUGGCAACCUUGAACAUUGUUAUAAUACAGAGUCACCCAAACAAAAGUACCCCGAUGAGGAAACGGUGCAGCUGGUUGAGAAAUUGUGGAAGUGAUAGUGUUUUGAAAUGACUGGGGAGGAAAAAAACAAAAACUAACACUUUUUGGGUAUAGUUUGGAAUGUCUUCUGUGUGUUAGAAUUGCAGGAGAUAAAGCAACAUAAGUGAGGAAAACAAGCAUGCUACCAAUUUCAGUUAUGUUUGUAAAAUUAGAUGUUUUAAGGUGUAAUUAAAUGGUCUAAAAUGGUAAUGUCCUAAAGAUGUUGGAAAUAUGCUGGGUUUAAACAUUGCACGGAGACGUUGACUUAAAAUCCUACUUCCUCUUUGUUUUUCUGCUUGUGGUAACAUUUUUUUGUAGGCUUAAACUUUAUAAAAUGUAUGAUUUUGUGGCCAUGGUCAGCAAAUGUUGUGCACUGCCCAGCUUCAUUGCUUCUUGUAUGAGAACCAAAACUAGGUAGCUGUGGCUGAAUGAAGAAGGGGAAAAAUAGGUGUUAUCCGCAGACUUAUCUUUAAAAGACUUUUUAAAACAUAUGAAGUGUUUUUUCUUCAUCAUAAAGUCUUUAGCAUUUCCUUUUUGCAUUGUAGCUUAAUUUGUAAAGAGUGUAAGAAGUUCUAAACUUUGAGUGCAAGCUCCUGUAGCCUACAGCUUUUCAGAAAUGCCUUGCUUUCUUCUGCUAAAGGACUCUCAUUUUAUUCUCUUACUUUCUUAAAUAGCUUUUUUUUCAGCCUACAGACAGCAUUUCUCUUUUACUGUUAUCCAUGCAAUUCAGUAACUAAUCACCAAGAUGAGAAUUGAUCUCUCCUUAUGAUUAUGAAUAUCUGAAGGGUAUUAAAGAUGCCUCCAAACCAAUGUUAGUUUCCCAAACCAGUGUGUAGCUGGUAUAGUGAGGCAGCAGAGAGAUGAGAUAUUUAUUCCUUUUUAUAGAAGAAGCAGGGGUGCAAAGGUGAAAUGGCUUUACCCAAAUUGUUGUGGAAGCCCAAAACAGACUUGGACACCAAACCCAGCUCUCCAGAGACCUGAGUCUGUGGCUGAUACAGUGAGCUGAUAGAGUAAAGCAUUGUAGUUUUUUGCUAGUUUCUUAUUUCAUGGUGUUCUUUGUACUGAAUGUUCUUUACCUUGUGUCACUUAGACCACAGCACCCCAGUCUUGCCUUUACAGACCUUGUGGCUGAAGUUCCCUGAAAAUGCUUAUGAAGCAAUUGGUUUGCGUAAGUGGUAAUGUGCUCCUGAGGCUUUGUGCCAGUACAACUUCAUGGACUAGGACCUCGACCUCUAGUUUGUUCAAUUAAGCUCUUAUCUCACAUGUGCCUGGAAGGCUGCCAUCACACCGUAGUGCUUUUUUUAUCAUGUGUGGACAGCUGCUUGGCUAAAACCAGAUGAAACACCCUUUGCUGUAGGACAGACCAUGUUGUGAGUAAGCUUGGUAGGGUCAAAAUGAAGUAAAACUCCUAGUUGUUCUCCACACAGUGUUGGAUGAGAGAAAGAGGAGGUUCUUGUUUCUUUAGCUCAUUCAUUCCUAGCAUAGUAACGGGAUGUCCAGUGCUGGAGGACGUGGUCACUGGGAUGCAUAGGAACUCUUGCAUAGGAACUCUUGAUUUCUUGCUCUGUUGUAAUCUCUCUUGGUAGAUUUUCAUGCAGGGGGAAGCACGUCCCUCACACCCGUGGCCAGAUUGCAUUCCAAACCCACAGUACUCAGUUUUUCUAUGGAUUCGUUCAACCUCUUGCUCCUGGUUUUAGUAAUUUGUCUUUUGGCUUAGCACACCAGGGGAUCAGGUUAAUCCGAUUGCUGUUUUCCAUCAUAUGCGACCACAUUUCCUUGUGAGUGGGAACUGUGAAAUAAUCCUAAAACUAUAUAUCACUUCUCUGCUUUUGAAAGAUGGCUUACUCAUUAAAUGCCCCCUCUGUACCUCUGAAUGAUGCUUACUCUCCAGAGCACAGAACAGAGUUUUGGGGGAAAUUUUCAUCUGAAGGGCGUUGUGCAAACCUUUAGCAGCAGCUAUGAAGUGAGGUGUUUGGAACAUUAGAUGCUACGGAAUGGUGUGGGUUAGAUUCUGACAUCAGUCCUGCCUGAACUGGCUACCUGGUACAGUCUCACCACCCGAUGUAUGAAGAAGUGAAUCAGCUGGCUUACAUCUUCAGUGCUUAAGAAGCAGUUUGGCUAUGGUGUAAAUGUGGUCUUCAGAAGUGCUUGUUCUCCUGUGUACAGUGACAAUAUCUACCCACUAGAAGUGAAUUUCCAGGAAAGCAUGUGACUUACGUUGUUCACCUUACUUUCGCUAAUAGAGAGAAACUAAGAGCAUUCAUCAGAAGCAGCAAGUUUUGCAUUGAGUGAGGAGCCUUGUCUCAUAGCAGAUGUACUCAUUUGCAUGGAGUGAGCUAAUUUCAGAUGAUCAGCUCAGAAUGGGUUCAUCUAAUUCAGCAGCUAAAUCUGCCGUUUCCCUCUGAGAAGUGCAGAGAGAAUUAAAGUCAUCUGUCCCUGUGCAGACAGGGGAAGGAGAUGAGGAAUACGCAGAGAUUUUGGCAGGUUUAGUUAGGCCUCUUGGUCUGGUGAGAUAACUGUAUUCCAAUAAAAUGAAAAGUUUUUCCUUAAAGCUUUUUAUUGAGAAUUCAGUAUGAAAAUUGACACUUUAUUUAAAACUAAAAAUAAGCAAACAAAAAAAAACAACACACACAAUAAAGAAAAUUACAUGGUCUUGGGUAUUUAGCUGAGAAAAUAAUCUUCCUUUUAUCCAGCUGUACAAGGUAGUGGAUGCUAGAUUUCUGUAAGGCAUGUGUGAUGCUUUUAGGUAAUACGAGAGUUGCCAUAAUCUGAGCAGACGAUGCAAACGUGCCAGUUGUCGUGCUUCAACCUCAGUGGAGUUGCCAGGGUUGCAACAGCUGCAACUUUUUCAGUGGUGAUGGGACCCAAGGGGUAACCUGAAAUAUUCAAGUGCCUUUGUGAAGUGGGUAAUCCUGGGUACUCUUGGGUAUUCUUUGGUUUGCCUUUUGUCUGUGUAACUAAGGAAGUUUGGUUACUUUGGAAGCCCAGGCUUCAAAACACAGUAGGGCUGAAUAUCAGCUGUUAGAAACACCAAAAUAAUUUCUGCAGAUCCCAACCUUCUGGAGUCUGGAGGAUAUGUGCUGUUCUUCCCCCUAGGAUGAUGUGUUGCUGAAAUGCUUCUGCUCCCUUUGUCGUGGCAUUGUGGCAGUCCCUUGUUGUAAAAGCUGCCCUGGAGAGGAAAUGCUCUACCCCUAGUGAGAGUGGUGUGGCUGGCAUAGAAGCUGAUGUGCUCCGUGGCCAAGUGAGCUUCCUUUUUAUGUCCACUCCUCUUCCCCUGCGGCUUUCUACUGCCAGCAGUCGAUUCCUAUUCAUGUUUAAGGAUCAACGUCGGGAGUAUUUUUCCCUUUAUCCAAAUUUUAAUUUAGUUCCAGUUCUUCCUCCCUGUUACCCCAUGCGUGGUGUUUCCUUGAACGUAUCUCAGAGGACAGCACUUAGCAGCUGUGCCCCAGGAGGGAACAAAAACUGAAUUUUCAGGCAACAAUAAAACUGCCAGUGCAGUUUGAUGCUAUUUCGGUGAAAGUAUAUGGGACAACCAACUGGGCUUGGAUAACAGCACUAUAAAUUCUACCUGGCUCCCCCAGGCCUCUCGUCAGCAGUGCUGCCAGCCAGGAGGAGAUGAAAGAACAGCUGAGAGCAGCAGAGAGUGGUUUUAUGGGUUUGGCUGCAGUUCCGAUUGUACUUCUCCCCGUGCUAAUUAAGAAAACGAAUGAUUAGCACAGAUCAGUGGAGACUGGUAGCAGCGUGCCCUGAGGAGCAUUAGCCAAAGGGAUUUGGGGUGGGGGGAGAGGCUGAGCUGGGCACCCAGUGCUGCUGGCGACAUGAGGUGGCGGUCGGGGCGAGCCUGCAGCCAGCAGAGGGCUGGCUGCUGCUAAUCAGGAAGUGGGCAUUUUGCAGAGGUUUUGGCUUCCCUUUCAAAUUUUGAACUUGACUCAAUUCUGUAUGACUCAGGCUAGUUUGACGCUUCCAAGAGACGGGCUCAGGCCGUGCCCGCUGCGGGAUGCCAAGGACCCGCGGCCCUGCCCGCCAUGCUUGUACGCGGGAGGCGUGGGCUGCCGUAUUCACAGCGAAGGUAGUUUCUGGUGAGCCCUAAAACCUGGCAGGACAGUGAAGUGAAGCACGUUACAGCCUGGGUGCUCCUUGCAAGUGAUCUCGAGCACCCUCCCCAUGCAGACUGGGCCAUUCUGGUGCACUCAGAGCUGCUGCAUUACCUGGCAACAGGUGAUCAUGUAGCUGUUUCCAUCUUAUUGGGGAGGAAGGCUGACUUUAAUACUGCAAGGGGAGUUUUAGUUCUGAAGGCUGCACGUGCUCAUGUCUGUAUUGCAAGGCUUGAAACACUUGGUCUCUCCAGUCAGAGCCAGAAACCAGAAGAACCUGCCAAAGAACCUCAGAGGAGAGAACCGCAGAGGAGGAGCACAGGUUAGGAUAAUCCAGGUCAGGAGGGAUUUGUGCAAGUCUCUAGUGCAGCUCCUGCUCAGGGCAGGGUUAGCUUUGAGAUCAGAUCAGAUUACCUAGGUGUUGAGCCAGUUUGACCAUAAAAGCCUUCAAGGAUGGAGACCGCAACCUCUGGGCAGUCUGUUUAUGGGUUUGUUAGUUAAAAUAAACUGACACUUGGUUAUUGUUCAUUUUAUAGCUUUUAGUUCACAUUUUCAUGUCUCUAAGCUUUCUGUAUGCGUUUAAAAAAAUCCAUGUCAUGGAUUCUAAGCAAGUUCUAGGAAAAGAGUAGGGGUUAAUGCAUGCAUUUCAAGAAUUUGCAGGUGAAGCAAUAUUCUUCACAUUAUUUUGCUUCCCUCUGUUUAUAAUCUACAGUCUUUUGUUGCUUAUUUUUUCUUCCACAGUACCCAACACACCUCUAUAGCAGUGGUAGAGGAAGGAUUCUGUUUUCAGUAUGUCCUGGGCUGCUUCUGAGGCUAUUUUAGCACCUUUCCUAGCUGAUUUUCCUGUCUGUAUUUGUAGGCUGUCUCCUUCAAACUGGUUUUUACUGUCAUUCCAGCGUUCUUCAGGUGAAUUCCACCAAGGCUGUGAUAGCUCCUAAGUUGUGCCCAAACUAUCUGAAGAGGAACCAUCCUAGAACAAUUCUUAGGAGGAGGACUUUUGGCUCCGGGUGCAGCCCCAGCUCCAUGAAGCUGCCGGUGAAGUUCCUGCUGACUCCGGUAGGGUUUGGCAUUCCCCAGCUCUUGGUUCCUUCCUGCCCGCCUUCAUUCAGCUUCGCCUUGGGGCUCAGCUCUCUUCUCUAGCCCUUCCCUGCCACUCUUGUCUCCUUAAAAGACGAUAGAGGUGUAGAAAUAGCAUAUUUUGCAGUCUUCAGAAAGGUUAUUUUGUGGUUUCCUGGAGAGUCUAAGCUUGCGUCUAGCUUGCUUGUCAGUACUUUUUUUUUCUUUCUCUUGUGAAACUUAUAUGCUGAAGGCCCAGUCUCACAGGAAACCAUCUUCAACCAAACCACAGCAACAGACGUAUCACACAUAUCCCCCUCCCCAAAACACUCUGAAAGAUCACAUAGGUGGCACAGUUUCACAGCCUGAAGAAUUUCACCCUUUGCAGUGGGAAUGCACAGAGUGAGCAGGAAAUCCCAAGACGUUCCACUGCCUCUGCCUCAAAGGGCCAGCCUCGGCUCAGCCUCAUACCAAUUCCCCUUAGGGUUUUUCUUCUGCUGGGGGUGUGGUGCAUGACAUCUGCCUCCAUCACAGUUAACUACAGUUAGCAGGAGGUCUCCUCCAGGCUGUGCACAUGCUGCAGAGGUUGCACAUCAAGGUCACGGUGGGUUUUCACCAGGUUGGACUAAACUUCAGAGCAAGUACGAACCUUUGUGAAGUUGCCACUUGUUGCCCACCUGUCAUGAUCCUUUUCUUCUGUUCGUCAUUGUCCUCUGCAAGCCUUGGGUUUAUUUUUUUCUGCUAAAAGUUAACGCUGUCUGUUAGUCAUUCUUUCAAUGUGUUAUCUCUGUUUUUAGAUAAUGCUGUUAUAUUGGUUACCAACAUACAGAGCACAAACAAAAUAUCACUAACAAAGCCAUGUCAGUAGUGGUCAGUGAGUUUCGUAUUUGAUUGAACUUGCUAAUUUUAAGUACUGCUUUUUCACACAAAGACAGGAGUUGUCACAGUUAGUUGGUCACUGUCUGGGAUCAGGAGAAACAAAUUUCUACAUUUUAACUAGGCAGUCAGCUAUACUGUGAGCAUGAAAAUAAACCAGUUGUAUUCCAUCUUUAAGGGUGGUAAUCUUUUGUUAGCUCCAUGUAGUGGUACAAGGAAUCGUUUCAACAGAAGGUAAUAGAGGUAACAUAAUAAGUUAGGAUGAAGUCAGAAUUGGAACUUGGAAUUUAUGUUGAAAAGUCUAAAUCCUGCCUUGUCCAGAGGUUAGUGAGCAUCUGAAACUGUUGAAUUUUUGUCUCAUAUCCAGGUAUAUCUGCACAGAAUUUAAAACAUCUUCAUAGGACAAUAACAUAACUUUUAUUCUGAUUUGACAACAAAGCCUUGUGGAUGAAAAUAAGAAGCCGUGGGUUUGCGUGACACUGCAGCUUGUUGUUAGAAGAAUCUCUUCCUGUGUAAUUCCUUUUGGACUGCUCAGACUCCUCGGGUUUAUCUGAGUUUUCCCAACCCUGGAUUAAUUCCAUCUUUCUGCUUUUUCUCAAGAUUUGUAAUAGGUUGGUGAAAGGCCAAAUUCUGUUUCUGGUAUUGGUUGACAAAAUUAAUUACAUACUCUACCUUUUUUUUAAUUUAGUGUUUAUUUCUUAUAACAAGAAAAAUGUUUCUUAUCUUCUUAGGCCUGACCACUGUGCUACAUUUUUGUAGUAUUUUGAAUAAAUUAUUAGUGUGAAGGAUUUUUCCUUUCUUUCCAUGUCUUUCUGGUGUUUACCCAUUCUUUAAAGCACCACUUUUCUAUUGUUACAGGAGAUUGGAAAGACGUGGGGGAAGGCCAAGAGCUGAAGGCCAGGGAAGCCCCGUUCCCACUGCUCUGGGAGGCCGUAGCUGCUGCUAUCUGCCCGAAGCUGGGGGUAUGGGGUCGGUCUGAAGGUGGCUGCUCUCAACACACAGCACCUGCAGCCACCACACCUGUUCUGCAGGUGGAAACUCACCUGUGCGUGAUACCCAUCCUGUGGUCUCCACAGGUGUUAUUUGGCCUCUUGCAUAGGCUCCGAAAUCUCAAACCCUUUCCUGCAGGCAAGGAAAAAGACCAGAACCACUUGGAUUUAACACUCUGCAGCUUCCAUGACAAGGUGAAGAAGCCUGGGAGGUGUUGUGUGUAAGGAGAUAAUGCUGCCAUUCCUGUUCUCUGUUCCUCAUCCUUCUCUCAAGUUUUUGCAGGGUUGUUGCUUUGUACAUCUGUCGUGGGCAGAUGGCUUGUGCCAAAGUAAAAAGGGAAAACUUUUAAAAGUAUUAGGAGCAGACUGAAGCAGGAGAAAGAUGAGAUUUGUAUGGCAGAGGGGGGAUUUGAUGUAGGGAACGUGGCAGCUGUGGUCAUUUCUCUCUUGUCCAUGCACUGCUUUAUCCCUGCCCUACAUCUUCAAAGCCUUUAUACCUUAUAUACCUUUAUAUCUUAUAUACCUUUAUACCUUACAUACCUUUAUACCUUAUAUUCCUUUCUACAUCUGUCUGCGGGGCUCAGAAACAAGACCUGGAGCCUCGCUGUGCUUCAUGGCUUACCUACAAGAAAAAUAACCAAACUAAAAACAACUGUCAUUGUUUGUAAGCCUCUGGCAUGGCACAGCUUGAUGGCAGGGAGGUGAGGAGCACGAGGGACCUGUCCAGGAUGGGUGCUGUGCCCCACGUGGCCAGGAGAUAAGGCAGAGCCCUGGCCGCAUGACUGCGAAAUAACGUCUGGCACACAGCAGCGCUGACUGCAGGUACAGACCGCAGUAGCUGGAUGGGCAGACGGGGGGAAAAACCCAGAAGAAUUUGAAAAUCUGCUCAAAAAAAGAAAUGGUUGGCUCUCUGCACGGUGCAGUAGAAGAAACUGCACACGUAACAGUUCGAGUAAUGAGCCCGAAGAGGCCACACGGCGAGAUCAAAGAUUUUUUUUUGGCGUGAUGUAGCAGUGAUGAAAACUGCCAGAGGAUGUCGCAGUCGAUGACUUAAGGAUGGAAUUUCCACACUGCUUGUGAGCCCUCUUGGUUAUGCAGGGGUGACGCCAGCCCUGCAGGGUGACUUGAACGCUGAUGGUUUUGUAACAGCCUUCAACACGCAGCCACUGCAUUUGGGUUGGGAGCUCAGCGCUCCUGUCUCGGGAGUGAAUUGGUGACGUUUCCACGUUCCUGUCCAGGAAAUGAGAGAAAUCCUCGCCUGUUCCUGUACGGUCAGAGGAGGCUGAGGAGAGAGGAGGUCUUGGAUAGUUCUCAGAAAGAAUGAAUGAAUCCGCCCAGGGAUGUUACACUGUCUGGUGCCUUUCUGGAUGCUCUUUGGAGCACAUCCAGGGAUGGAUUUCAUCUAACAGGAACGAGGAGCUGUAAAUAACUCAGCUUUUGCAGUUCUCAGUUACAUUGCUCUGAUGUUGAUUCUGGUUGCUCUCUGAGCAGAGACAAGCAGACCUGUGCUGGUGGGUAGCACUGCAGUAACACAAAACCCUUCUGCCAGAGCUUUGUGUGUCUGGGUGUCUGCUUUCGAGGUGGGCAUUUCAAGGCUCGCUCCUGCUCUUCUGAAGCACGAGGUGAACGUGUCUAAAGAGGAGGGUGGGGGGGAGUAGGUUUCCCCAUCCAUAAUUUCAGGAUUUUAGCUCCUGAUGUUGUUGGUAUUUUCACAGGGUCACCUGAGGUCAUUCUUACUGUAACUUCUUGGAGGACUUCUAGGCUAUUUAUUAUGUACAUGAAAUGUGUCCCCCUGUGAUAUACAGACAUGGUUUCACAGUGACUAAUGAGACUAACACUUUUGUAUCAUUCUUGGAAUGGUUUGCAAACCUCUGGCCAAAUAAAAGCUAAGCUGGACACUGAGAUUUCACUAUUGCAUCGAAUUUUGUGGCAUGACAAGCUUAAAAACAUGGUGUUCCAGGAAAACUUCAUCGCUGCUGCAGUAAAUACUUCUAUCUGUCAGCCCAGGUUUCGUGACAAAUCGCUGUGUUCGUAUGUGUGCACCUGUCCCUGCUCAUGGCUCCUUGCAGAAUUGGUUUGAAUAAGUUAAAGUGAAACACGUUGUGCUGUUGUAGCUGUUAUCCUUUGGCUCUCAUUAAAAGCUUUCUUCUGAGCUUCCUGUGCAGAGCCCUGCAGCCCUGCAGCAGGCUGUGGGUGAUGAAAUCAGGGAAUUUCAGCGAGUCAGAGAAGGAAGUGAACGUUCAGUUCUCCUGCACGAGCGUGUUCAAAACUACCCUGGUAAAACAGGGGGGGUAAAACAAGCUGAAUUAACUCCAGCAAGCAACUUCUUGUUCCAGCAGAGAUGCCAUGUCACUGCCUUUUCCAAAGUGAACAUCUCCAAGAGUGUGGAGCUUUGUGAGCUGAGUCCUAAGGCAGCUGUGCUGUCCGCAUGGCUUUUGGUUAAGGUUAGCAGCGAAGCAAAUGCCAUGUUCUGGUGCUGGCAGGUGGUUAACCAGAGGGAAUUUCACUUUGCUGCGGAGAUGGGAAACCACAAGACGUGCGCCUUCCUGCAGGCUAUGCAGUGGGCAUUCAGAAGAAAUCCUGGGGGUGGAGGAUGUGGGGAAGAUGCUAAAAAUUCAACUUGAGAUUCCUCUGCUCCAUUCAGAGAAGCUGUAAGAGAUUUCUCAGGUGGGUGGGGAAGGAUGUGUGGCACCACACGUCUGAGAGCUCCUUUUGUUAGCCAGAUCAAGAUGUAUACUUGGGUUAUAAUGGGUUCACUUGAAUACAGAGGGCAUUUCUUCCAAGCACCUUCACCAAAUGCUGUGCCUCGUGAUGCAGGUGUAGUAAGACUAUUAAAAGGGACCUAUUUGAGUAAGGCACGUUAAAAGAAUUAAUAGAAAACUGUUUUGGACUAGGAGCUUUGUGGUGAUGACACAGGGGGCUGCUCUACUGUAUGGCAAACACUGAGCAAAACACCUUUGUCUCCUGAACAGACGAGCUGAAGGUGGCCUGCAAAUAAAUAGAACCUAGUUGGUGAUGUUUUAUGUUUUGUCUAUCAAGAGUAGAAUAUUUGGAGGGGUUUUAAGGGAAGAAGGCAGUGUAAAUGAAUGCCAGAAACCAGUUGUUUUUGCUUGCUUUGUACCGUAGGAAUAUCUAUCCUGUCAGUUGGAUUGCUACCUAGAUUGGCCUUUUUUGGUGCAUUUUGGGGGAAAAUUUGAGUGAAGAUAUCUGGAUGCAAAGAACAUUCUGUAACGUCAGACACUUUGCAGUUUUAAUACGUCCUUCAGGCAGAUAAUGCUGGAGAGGUGUUGCAUGUGAAUGACCUGCUGGCGUACAGUCAUCAAGAUGAAUUUCAUCACUGCUCAUCUGCUGAUUUCUGCUCUGAUAUGUCAAUUUUGCAGGUACUCAGGUCUUGCUAGAAUGAGUGGGAUUAAAAUCAAUUAUACAACCCCCCAGACCAGAUGAACUUGCUGUAGGAAUCUCCCCGAAACAAAGCGAUGUACACAGCAUUACUUCCUUCCCGUGCCGACAUAAUGAACGUGGAAAUGAGUGUCCUUGAUGAAGAGCCAAGGGGGUCAGCCUCUGACAGAGGCCAGCAGUGGACAGCAUGUGGUGCCCAGUCCCUGCCUCUGUCUGCUCGGGAAGCUCAGAACUCAGAGCUCGAAAUGGUGAAGGAUGUGGCGUUUCCUGCCUGACUCAGGACAGGUUGGAGGCAGCAUGUCAGUGGUGCAGCUCCCAGACAGGUGCUUUGCAGAACGUGGAACCAAGUCAUUCCCAAAUUGCAGUAUGGAAAGAAUCAAUUCAGACAGGGUUAUGUAUUUGAAGUGAUUGAAAAUACUUCCAACUGGAGAUACUUGUGAGGUUUCAGGAAAGCUCGUUGUGUCUUGGAGAAAGCUGACCUAGCGGAACCAGAACUGUUAUUCAAAAUUAACCUGUUAAACUGAUGGCUCUUGCAGGGGAGACACAGGAAGAAAGCCCCUGUGAAAGAGCAGGCUGGGAGAAAAGUGAAGAGUCUGAAGGCUGGGAGCAGUCAGGUUCAGGUCUGCUUCCACACAGCCCUCCUGUGCCCAUCAUCCAUGAUGUGCUGGGGGAAAAUCUGUCCUUCCUCUGGGCUGAACGAGAGCCAUCCCUGAGCAUCCUGCUGGCUGCAGCACUGCCCUACAGCAGGAGAGGUUCGUGCCCCAGCUGCAGACACACGUGUCCAUGCUGCAGUCACACUCUGUUCCUUCUAUGUGUGUGCAUGGAUUUGGGGGUGAUGCUCUGCAGCUGGGCUGGGAGGCGGUGCACGGCAUGGUUUCUCUGUGGCUGGUUGCAGAAGCACUGAAAAAGCACUGAAAAACUUUCAGAAGUCUGAAAGGCUGGGGUGGCAGCGAGCCUCGGCCGGUUCUGCUGUCCCAGCUGCUGCCUGCGGGGUCGAACGAAGUGCUGGGAGGCAGGGAAGGGCAUUGCUCCAUCUCAGGGAGUGCCUGCUCAGGGCUUGGGGAUGCUCCCGCAGAGCCAGGCAGGGCUGCCAGCUGGCACGGGGCUGCAGUGCCGUCACAAAGGAGGGACAGAUCCGCAGCACAAGCCCCAACAGGGCAGAAAAAGAGAGAACUUGUCCUGGGGAGGCUGCAAGGGGGUUUCCAGUUGGGGCAGCUAACGGAAUUUGGGCUGGAAGGAGGCUUCCUUGCCUUCUGCAGGGAUACAGCCUGGCUCCCCUUAGCCUUCUAACCUAUUGUCAUAGUUUCUAAUCAUCUCCUAGAAACUCCCAUGGUCUUUUGUCCAUUUUUGCUGUCUUUUUCUCAACAGUUUUCAAACGCUGUGCACCACAGAGGGAUUCCUUCGUGUCCAGCUGCCAGCGCCCCUGCUUGUUCCUUGCUCUCUGGUGCCUGGCUCCAGUUGCAGCAGCCCGUGACUCAUUCCAGCCUCCGAGCUGCUCGGAGGAAUUGCCCUGUUAGUGAUUCCUCUUCGUGGCUUUGUGCAAUUCAGGAGCCCUGAAAUUACGUAACUUUGCAGUUGUCCUUGCUGAGCUGCCUGCGUUUUACAAACCAGUGCUCCAAUUUGCCAAAGCUGUUCUGAUUUCUUUCACCAAUGUGCCAGCAUCUCCUUUUACCUUGAGAUCUGCAUGUGAAUUUAAUGCAUCUGUCCCAUCCCCCAUCAGUGGAAAUGGAAAUAACUGCAUGUUCAACCCAGGACCAAUCUUUCAAUCUCCUAAUUUGAUACAUUCUUCAGGACUGAUUUUUGUACCCCUUGAGAUAAUUUUUUUUAUAGGUGGCUUAUGGAAAAUUUGUCACAAUGCUAUUCAAACUCUCAGCUUAUCUCAUGCUAUCUACUAUUUUUUCCCCGUUCUCAAGAGCUGUUAUCCUGUAAAAGGAGGAAAUUAUCAGUUUGACCAUGAGUAGUAGCCAGCGUGGAUUUGUCAGGAAUAAAUCACUUUCUUGCUGUCAGGAUGUUUGUUCUUUCUGAGUCCCUGAAGUUUCAUCUGUUCUCCACGACUUCCCAAACAAGGCCAAAAAUGUUUGGGAAUUCAAGAAAUUCAGCCAACUUUUCAUACCUACUUGGUGAUGAACAGCGUCAGCCCAAACACUUUGGAAAAAAAUCCAAUUCAUCCAAAGAAUCCCCAUUUGUGUUCACCCUCCUUUGUUAUCACUGGUGUUUGUUGUGUUAAGUGCCCUGGUACAGCCGGUGCUUGUGAGGGAGGCAGGAGCAGAGUGGUUGUGCCCUUCUUGCAUCAGAUGUCAGUGCUUUUUGCUUGAGCAGGGCUUAACUCCUUCUUUUGUCUUCCUCUUUCAGUUUAAUAUCAGGGUCCCAAAUGCAGUAUUCACCCAAAUGAGAUUCAAAUGAACCCACGAAGGUCAGUGUAAUUAUAUACAUCUGUCAGACUGAGAGAAAUUCAGUAACAUCGGAGUGAGCAAUGCCCUUCAGUACUUCACUUGAAGCAUUGGCACUUCAGAUCCUUGUUCAGAAAUCAACAGAGGUGAGUUUGGUCUUGUUCUGGUCUUGAGCAGACAAAGGUCAACACCUCGGGGCUACCUUCGUGGGGCCUAGGAAAGCACAGAGGCUCAGGGUCGCAUUUGUGAUACGCUCACAGACGUGGUGAGUUUCCAAACUGACUGCUUGGUUUUAGUCAGUGCCCCUAUUUCCUCACCUUGGUGAGCAAGGGACUCGACAUGGGUGUUUUGUACAGCGGAGGGAAUGCUACAAAAGCUGACAUUAAGCGUAAGGGAUUUUUGUGUUAUCGCCUACUGGUGUGCACAUGACCUGCGGUGAUUCAUAGGCUUCACGAAGGGGGAGAGCAGCUACAAAGAGGGCGAUUUUAGAAAUACCAUCCCGUUGAGCUGUGAGGAGAUCAGACCUAAACAAAUGGAAACAGUUGCUGUACCCUGGCCUUACCGUAAGGCGUUCACAAGCUGCAAAAAAUACAGAAGCUGUGGACUGGGAAGUCAGGAAGGCCAGGGCAGCAGUGAUAAACAUGCAGGGAGGACAGGGAGAAGGCCUCAUAUGUGGAAUUGUGUUGUCAGGGUUUUAAUUUGCUGUGAUUUGGGGGCCCUAGGUAUCAAACAGGUACCUGCCUUGCACCUCGGAGGCUUUUGAGGUUCUCUUGCUAACCAGUCUGUUGGCUGGGUUUUCAAAACAAGCCUGUGCAUUCGGAUUGAGGAAUUUGGUGUCAAAAAAAAAAAAAAAAAAAAGGAUUUAUUUCCUGCCUCAUCACCGUCCUUCCCUGCAAUGGUCAGUGUCAUGUUUCUUACAAACACUUGUAGUGUUUGUCCUGGAACCCGUGCCAAAGGAGCCAUUUUUCUGAUUUAACACCGAUUCCUGUGAGAACUGUGUCACUUCUGGUUUAGCUGGGGGUUUUGAGGUCUCCUCUGUAUAUCCAAAGGAUAUUUAUUUAUCUGUAGAUCUUGAAUGCUGUGAGUGUUAAUAAGCAGUUAAAUAAGCAAAAUCCCUCUCAGGUUGUUCAGAGGAAGGGGAGAAAGAGGUCUUUUUUGGCCUUCUUUUUGGGGCGGAGGGUUGUCCUUUGUCAAAUAGCUCAAAUCCAAGGAGGAGCCAUGCAGAUGGAGAGAGAAAAGCUGGGAGAGAGACUGUGCAGCCUGGAGAACGUGGGUGAGUCUUCCCCAUGUGUACCAACACCUGGUUUGGGACAGUGAAGAUGAACCCAGAGUCAUCUCAGCAGUGCCCAGUGCCAGGACAGGAGUCAGUGGGCACAAUUCCAACAUCCCAUAAGGAAAACUUCUCUGCUUUGAGAGUGAUUGAACCCUGGAGCAGGUUGCAUAGAGAGGCCGUGGAGCCUUCAUCCUCAGAGAUGCUAAAAUCCAUGGGGCUGGUCAAACCCUGCCUGCCACGGCUGGCCCUGCUCUGCCGUGAUGGUUGGGCUUAGCCGAUCUCCAGAGCUUCCUCCCCCCCGCACCCAACUAUUUGGUGAUUUUGCAAACUUGCCAUUGAGUGUGACAGUCAUCAGUUUGCUUUAGAAAAACGCUUCGUGCCUAGACCUGCUGCCUUCCCCCAGAAGUUCCAGUAACUUUGCUCCUGCGUUUCCGUUUGGUGCUGGCUCCCUGCCCGUGUCCUUUUCUGUAAAGUUUAGUUCCUAUCAGUCCUUUCUCAUGCGACAGAAUUUUCCAUUAUUAUUUAAUGAAUGCCCAAAAGCUAUUAUACUGUUUAUUUCCUUAAAAAAUAUCUUAAGAAAAACCUUGCUUUGUGGUCAGUCUUGGCUUCUUAAGUAAACUUUUAUAACCUUUUGGUGUGUUUAUAUUUCCCUCUUUUUUUGUAAUUUGACCUCUCACUUGCCAGGAGGUGGAGUGGAAAUCCCAUGCUCCAGACAGAAAUGCAGUUUGACAUUUCCUGAACCCGUGGAUGCUUCUGUGACUUGCUUCGAAGAGAUCCUGGAUUUCCAACUCGAGGGGCCUGCAGUGCUCACACCUGGGCUCGUCACCUGCCUCAGCUGAAGGAUGGAGCUCCAGUAAACUUUCCCUGAGAGAGUCACCUGGAAACCACAGAGAUAAAAGUGCCUGAGAAAGGAGAUGCCACCGGCAGGAGACAGAGUGUGGAGGGCAAGUUGACAGAUGCAAGCUGUAACGACGUGUAGAGCUCGGUGCAGGCACGUUCUCUGCAGACACUUGGGUUUGUGAUGCUGCCCCUCCUCUGCACAGCACAGCAGUGAGGCACUGACAGACAGACAGACGGCCUGCACGUCUCUGCUUCGUCACAGGUGUGACAGGGGACACGUCCCUCACCCAAAGAAUCAUCUCACGUGCAUUCACAGUGGGCGCCUGGCUGAGCCUGAGCUACAGGAACGAGUUGACCUCCCAGGGCAAGGUUUGCUGCCCUCCUAGCAGAGAAAUGUCCCUGAGAAGGAGACCUUCCCCAGGGCCGUGCCCAGAAAUGAGCUUUCUUAUAACCCACCCUCAGGACCAGUGCUGUCCACAGUGGAGCUGCUUGUGCAAUGGAAACACCACAACCUCCUGAGGGAAAACAUCAGCCUCUAUCCACACAAGACAUCCAACACGUGUCUUGAAGGGUUCUUGCACCCGUGGCUUCUCACCUCUGAAGGUCAGUCUGUCCAGCUGUACCCACAGAGAUUAACACAUUGGAAACCCACAGCAGGCUUGAGCUUCUGACUGAUGUGUAUCAAUGCAGUGAUCAGCUCCAAGCAACAAAAAAAAAAAAAAGGAAUGCCAAGAUUGAAUUUACUGUUCUAUUUGUCUUUUUGUAACUGUUUUGCAGAGUGAAUCACUUAAAAAUAAAUAAAAAACCCUUAUUCUA